RNAcentral lists this small RNA (90 nucleotides) under Mytilus galloprovincialis (Mediterranean mussel). The record is from RNAcentral. Lineage: Eukaryota; Metazoa; Mollusca; Bivalvia; Mytilida; Mytilidae.
AAAUAUAAAGCAAUUGAACGGUUUUCACAUUGAUUCACAGAUUGAAAUUAAAUUCUGAGAUCAUUGUGAAAACUGAUUUUAUGCUAAACA